GGCAGCAGUAGGGAAUCUUCGGCAAUGGGCGAGAGCCUGACCGAGCAACGCCGCGUGAAUGAUGAAGGCCUUCGGGUUGUAAAAUUCUGUUAUAAGGGAAGAACGACUUUAGUAGGAAAUGGCUAGAGUGUGACGGUACCUUAUGAGAAAGCCACGGCUAACUACGUGCCAGCAGCCGCGGUAAUACGUAGGUGGCGAGCGUUAUCCGGAAUUAUUGGGCGUAAAGAGCGCGCAGGUGGUUGAUUAAGUCUGAUGUGAAAGCCCACGGCUUAACCGUGGAGGGUCAUUGGAAACUGGUCGACUUGAGUGCAGAAGAGGGAAGUGGAAUUCCAUGUGUAGCGGUGAAAUGCGUAGAGAUAUGGAGGAACACCAGUGGCGAAGGCGGCUUCCUGGUCUGUAACUGACACUGAGGCGCGAAAGCGUGGGGAGCAAACAGGAUUAGAUACCCUGGUAGUCCACGCCGUAAACGAUGAGUACUAAGUGU
This 484-nucleotide ribosomal RNA is filed under the name uncultured Bacillota bacterium. RNAcentral describes it as "bacterial SSU rRNA". It matches the Rfam family "Bacterial small subunit ribosomal RNA", at positions 347 to 823 of the family's 1533-position model. Lineage: Bacteria; Bacillati; Bacillota. The record is from RNAcentral.